This 465-nucleotide ribosomal RNA is filed under the name Vreelandella stevensii. RNAcentral describes it as "partial 16S ribosomal RNA". It matches the Rfam family "Bacterial small subunit ribosomal RNA", at positions 338 to 795 of the family's 1533-position model. Lineage: Bacteria; Pseudomonadati; Pseudomonadota; Gammaproteobacteria; Oceanospirillales; Halomonadaceae. The record is from RNAcentral.
CCUACGGGAGGCAGCAGUGGGGAAUAUUGGACAAUGGGGGGAACCCUGAUCCAGCCAUGCCGCGUGUGUGAAGAAGGCCCUCGGGUUGUAAAGCACUUUCAGUGAGGAAGAACGCCUGGUGGUUAAUACCCAUCAGGAAAGACAUCACUCACAGAAGAAGCACCGGCUAACUCCGUGCCAGCAGCCGCGGUAAUACGGAGGGUGCGAGCGUUAAUCGGAAUUACUGGGCGUAAAGCGCGCGUUGGUGGCUUGAUAAGCCGGUUGUGAAAGCCCGGGGCUCAACCUGGGAACGGCAUCCGGAACUGUCAAGAUAGCGUGCAGGAGAGGAAGGUAGAAUUCCCGGUGUAGCGGUGAAAUGCGUAGAGAUCGGGAGGAAUACCAGUGGCGAAGGCGGCCUUCUGGACUGACACUGACACUGAGGUGCGAAAGCGUGGGUAGCAAACAGGAUUAGAUACCCUUGUAGUC